UCCGUUGGUGAACCAGCGGAGGGAUCAUUACUGAGUUUACGCUCUACAACCCUUUGUGAACAUACCUAUAACUGUUGCUUCGGCGGGUAGGGUCUCCGCGACCCUCCCGGCCUCCCGCCUCCGGGCGGGUCGGCGCCCGCCGGAGGAUAACCAAACUCUGAUUUAACGACGUUUCUUCUGAGUGGUACAAGCAAAUAAUCAAAACUUUUAACAACGGAUCUCUUGGUUCUGGCAUCGAUGAAGAACGCAGCGAAAUGCGAUAAGUAAUGUGAAUUGCAGAAUUCAGUGAAUCAUCGAAUCUUUGAACGCACAUUGCGCCCGCCAGCAUUCUGGCGGGCAUGCCUGUUCGAGCGUCAUUUCAACCCUCAAGCUCUGCUUGGUGUUGGGGCCCUACAGCUGAUGUAGGCCCUCAAAGGUAGUGGCGGACCCUCUCGGAGCCUCCUUUGCGUAGUAACUUUACGUCUCGCACUGGGAUCCGGAGGGACUCUUGCCGUAAAACCCCCAAUUUUCCAAAGGUUGACCUCGGAUCAGGUAGGAAUACCCGCUGAACUUA
This 553-nucleotide ribosomal RNA is filed under the name Colletotrichum siamense. Its description in RNAcentral is "eukaryotic LSU rRNA". The stretch from base 203 to 356 matches the Rfam family "5.8S ribosomal RNA". RNAcentral also lists the same sequence under 3 other names. The record is from RNAcentral. Lineage: Eukaryota; Fungi; Ascomycota; Sordariomycetes; Glomerellales; Glomerellaceae.